Molecule: ribosomal RNA, 252 nt
Filed under: uncultured bacterium
Lineage: Bacteria
Description: partial small subunit ribosomal RNA
Rfam family: Bacterial small subunit ribosomal RNA
Source: RNAcentral
AGGAUGAACGCUAGCGGCAGGCCUAAUACAUGCAAGUCGAACGGUGAGUAGCAAUACUCAUAGUGGCGCACGGGUGCGUAACACGUAACUAACCUACCUAUAACUGGGGGAUAGCCCGCCGAAAGGCGGAUUAAUACCGCAUAAGCCAUGGACUCGGCAUCGAGAUUUUGGUAAAGAUUUAUUGGUUAUAGAUGGGGUUGCGGGUCAUUAGCUAGUUGGUUGGGUAACGGCUGACCAAGGCGACGAUGACUA